This 1234-nucleotide ribosomal RNA is filed under the name metagenome. RNAcentral describes it as "bacterial LSU rRNA". It matches the Rfam family "Bacterial large subunit ribosomal RNA", at positions 1564 to 2808 of the family's 2925-position model. The record is from RNAcentral.
UGAUGACGAGACGCUAAGGCGUUGAAGCAGUGUAUGUCAGACUUCCAAGAAAAGCUCGCAAUGUCACAAAUAUAAAAUGCCUGUACCAUAACCGACACAGGUGGGUAGGUAGAGUAUACUAAGGGGCGCGAGAUAACUCUCUCUAAGGAACUCGGCAAAAUGACUCCGUAACUUCGGGAGAAGGAGUGCCUUAUUUAUAAGGUUGCAAUAACAAGAUCCAAGCAACUGUUUAUCAAAAACACAGGUCUCCGCUAAGUCGUAAGACGAUGUAUGGGGGCUGACGCCUGCCCAGUGCCAGAAGGUUAAAGAAGUUGGUUAGUGUAUGCGAAGCUGAUGACUGAAGCCCUGGUGAACGGCGGCCGUAACAAUAACGGUCCUAAGGUAGCGAAAUUCCUUGUCGGGUAAGUUCCGACCCGCACGAAAGGCGUAAUGAUUUGGAUACUGUCUCGGAGAGAGGCUCGGUGAAAUAGACUUGUCUGUGAAGAUGCGGACUACCUGCACCAGGACAGAAAGACCCUAUGAAGCUUUACUGUAACUUGAAAUUGGAAUUGGACUUUGCUUGCGCAGUAUAGGUGGGAAGCGUUGAAAAUAUUCUUGCGGGAGUAUUGGAGCUAUCAGUGAGAUACCACUCUUGUAAUGUUAGAUUUCUAACUUUGAACCAUAAUCUGGUCAAAGAACAGUUUCAGGUGGGCAGUUUGACUGGGGCGGUCGCCUCCCAAAUGGUAACGGAGGCGUACAAAGGUUUCCUCUGAACGGAUAGAAAUCGUAUCUAGAGUGUAAAGGCAUAAGGAAGCUUGACUGUGAGACCUACAAGUCGAGCAGGGACGAAAGUCGGUCUUAGUGAUCUGACGGUACUGAGUGGAAAGGCCGUCACUCAACGGAUAAAAGUUACUCUAGGAUAACAGGCUGAUCUCCCCCAAGAGUUCACAUCGACGGGGAGGUUUGGCACCUCGAUGUCGGCUCAUCGCAUCCUGGGGCGGUAGUACGUCCCAAGGGUUGGGCUGUUCGCCCAUGAAAGCGGUACGCGAGCUGGGUUCAGAACGUCGUGAGACAGUUCGGUCCAUAUCCGGUGUAGGCGCUAGAAUAUUGAGAGGAGCCUUCUUUAGUACGAGAGGACCGAGAAGGACACACCGCUGGUGUACCAGUUAUCGUGCCAACGGUAAACGCUGGGUAGCUAUGUGUGGAGUGGAUAACCGCUGAAAGCAUCUAAGUGGGAAGCCCACCUCGAGAUGAG